Molecule: ribosomal RNA, 795 nt
Filed under: uncultured bacterium
Lineage: Bacteria
Description: bacterial SSU rRNA
Rfam family: Bacterial small subunit ribosomal RNA
Source: RNAcentral
GUACCGCGCGGCCUACACUGCAGUCGUACAGGAUAACUCAGCUUGCUUAGCGGAUUAGUGGCGAACGGGUGAGUAACACGUGAGUAACCUGCCCUUGACUCUGGGAUAAGCGUUGGAAACGACGUCUAAUACCGGAUAUGACCUUCGGAGGCAUCUCCUGGGGGUGGAAAGAUUUUUUGGUCAAGGAUGGACUCGCGGCCUAUCAGGUUGUUGGUGAGGUAAUGGCUCACCAAGCCUACGACGGGUAGCCGGCCUGAGAGGGUGACCGGCCACACUGGGACUGAGACACGGCCCAGACUCCUACGGGAGGCAGCAGUGGGGAAUAUUGCACAAUGGGCGAAAGCCUGAUGCAGCAACGCCGCGUGAGGGAUGACGGCCUUCGGGUUGUAAACCUCUUUUAGUAAGGAAGAAGAACUUCGGUUUGACGGUACUUGCAGAAAAAGCACCGGCUAACUACGUGCCAGCAGCCGCGGUAAUACGUAGGGUGCAAGCGUUGUCCGGAAUUAUUGGGCGUAAAGAGCUCGUAGGCGGUUUGUCGCGUCUGCUGUGAAAACUGGAGGCUCAACCUCCAGCCUGCAGUGGGUACGGGCAGACUAAAGUGCGGUAGGGGAGAUUGGAAUUCCUGGUGUAGCGGUGGAAUGCGCAUAUAUCACGAGGAACACCGAUGGCGAAGGCACAUCUCUGGGCCGUAACUGACGCUGAAGAGCGAAAGCUGGGGAGCGAACAGGAUUAUAUACCCUGGUAGUCCAUGCCGUAACGUUGGGAACUAGAUGUACGGGCCAUUCCCGGUUUCUG